Molecule: transfer RNA, 74 nt
Filed under: Patescibacteria group bacterium
Lineage: Bacteria
Description: tRNA-Val
Rfam family: tRNA
About the family: Transfer RNA (tRNA) molecules are approximately 80 nucleotides in length. Their secondary structure includes four short double-helical elements and three loops (D, anti-codon, and T loops). Further hydrogen bonds mediate the characteristic L-shaped molecular structure. tRNAs have two regions of fundamental functional importance: the anti-codon, which is responsible for specific mRNA codon recognition, and the 3' end, to which the tRNAs corresponding amino acid is attached (by aminoacyl-tRNA synthetases). tRNAs cope with the degeneracy of the genetic code in two manners: having more than one tRNA (with a specific anti-codon) for a particular amino acid; and 'wobble' base-pairing, i.e. permitting non-standard base-pairing at the 3rd anti-codon position.
Source: RNAcentral
GGUCGCGUGGCGCAGUUGGUUAGCGCGCUCGAUUCACAUUCGAGAGGUCCCUGGUUCGAAUCCAGGCGCGACCA